RNAcentral lists this ribosomal RNA (1775 nucleotides) under human metagenome. RNAcentral describes it as "bacterial LSU rRNA". It matches the Rfam family "Bacterial large subunit ribosomal RNA", at positions 1128 to 2925 of the family's 2925-position model. The record is from RNAcentral.
GAGUGCGUAAUAGCUCACUGGUCGAGAGUAUCUGCGCCGAAGAUGUAACGGGGCUAAGACAUAAACCGAAGCUGCGGAGGCGUGUUUUCACGCCUGGUAGGAGAGCGUUCUGUAGGCCGUCGAAGGUAAGCUGUAAGGCUUUCUGGAGGCAUCAGAAGUGAGAAUGCAGGAAUGAGUAGCGAGAAGGCGGGCGAGAAUCCCGCCGGCCGGAAGUCCAAGGUUUCCAGGGGAAGGCUUGUCCGCCCUGGGGAAGUCGGGACCUAAGCAUAAGCAAAAUUGUGAUGGCGAAUGGAAAACAGGUUAAUAUUCCUGUACCACUAUUAUCGCUUGAGAGACGGAGUGACGCAGGAAGGUAUGCGGGAAGGCUGACGGAAUAGCCUUUCCAAGGGCGUAGCAUGGGCAUGCAGGAAAAUCCGCGUGCCUAAAUGUGAGACCUGACGGGUAAGUGCAUCUUGCAUAAGCCGCAGAUCCUACACUGCCGAGAAAAACUUCUAUCGAUGAGAACCAGCGCCCGUACUGUAAACCGACACAGGUGGACAGAGUGAGAAACUUAAGGCCGACAGGAUAACUCUAGCUAAGGAACUCUGCAAAAUAGCCCCGUAACUUCGGGAGAAGGGGUGCCUGACAUACCUGAGAGGAGAAACACCUCAAGGGGAAACAGGCCGCAGUGAAGAGUCCCAAGCAACUGUUUACCAAAAACACAGGUCUAUGCUAAGCUGGAAGGCGACGUAUAUGGGCUGACACCUGCCCAGUGCCGGAAGGUUAAGAGGAGGAGUGAGAGCUCCGAUUUGAAGCCCCGGUGAACGGCGGCCGUAACUAUAACGGUCCUAAGGUAGCGAAAUUCCUUGUCGGGUAAGUUCCGACCUGCACGAAUGGUGAAAUGAUUUGGGAGCUGUCUUGGCUGGAGACCUGGUGAAGUUGUAAUGUCGGUGAAGAUACCGACUACCUGCAGUAGGACGGAAAGACCCCGUGGAGCUUUACUGUAGUUUGGCAUUGGGUUUUGGCUGUGUGUGUAUAGGAUAGUUGGGAGACUGUGAAGCUGAGGCGUCAGUUUCAGCCGAGUCGCCGUUGGAAUACCAACCAUAUGCCGUUGAAAUUCUAAUCUGGUAACGGAGACAGUGCUAGAUGGGCAGUUUGACUGGGGCGGUCGCCUCCAAAAGAGUAACGGAGGCGUUCAAAGGUUCCCUCAGGCUGGAUGGAAAUCAGCCUAAGAGUGCAAACGCAUAAGGGAGCUUGACUGCAAGACUGACGGGUCGAGCAGGUACGAAAGUAGGAGUUAGUGAUCCGGCGGUUCCGUAUGGAAGGACCGUCGCUCAACGGAUAAAAGCUACCCCGGGGAUAACAGGCUGAUACUUCCCAAGAGUCCAUAUCGACGGAAGUGUUUGGCACCUCGAUGUCGGCUCGUCUCAUCCUGGGGCUGGAGAAGGUCCCAAGGGUUGGGCUGUUCGCCCAUUAAAGAGGCACGCGAGCUGGGUUCAGAACGUCGUGAGACAGUUCGGUCCCUAUCCACUGCAGGCGCCUGAGCACUGAAAAGAUCUGACCUUAGUACGAGAGGACCGGGUUGGACAGACCUCUGAUGUAUCAGUUGUCACGCCAGUGGCAUGGCUGAGUAGUCACGUCUGGAACGGAUAAUCGCUGAAAGCAUCUAAGCGAGAAGCCGUCUUUGAGAUGAGUAUUCGCAGUAUCCAUGGAGAACACAUGGUUGAUAGGCCAGAGGUGUAAGUGCAGCAAUGCAUUCAGCUGACUGGUACUAAUAUUACAUCUGCUUUUUAGUU